This 654-nucleotide unclassified non-coding RNA is filed under the name Hevea brasiliensis (rubber tree). Lineage: Eukaryota; Viridiplantae; Streptophyta; Magnoliopsida; Malpighiales; Euphorbiaceae. The record is from RNAcentral.
CCUAUUUAUACCCGUUUGAGCAUUCAAUGCUCACAGAGUCCCAAGUAACGCAUCGGUUAGCGGAAUUCGCCCGCUUUCCUGACACGUUGCGGGAAGGUUCCAGAAACGCAAUGAGUAAAAUAAAAUGAGAUCGGUUAGCUAAGACUGUCGGAUUAGGGCAAAUGUUCAGAGUCACUGAUCGGCUAAGGACGAUUUAAUUAGGGACCAGAUCGGAUAUGCACACCAGAGAUCGGAAAAUUAACCAAUGCGAUAAUUAAAUAAUGACCUUCAAACAAAAUUUCAUUUCAUUUCCAUAAGGUCAGAUUACAUCAUUUGAGCGAUCCCAAAAGAUCGGAUUACACCCUUGAGAGAAUCUUCAAAGAUCAAAUUUCAUUGUUUGGGCGAUCUCAAAUCAGGAAGCGAUGAGGGACCCGAUGUGAGAGAGAUUGGAAAAGAGUCAUAAUAGAGAAAUCGGAAGGAAUAGAGAUCAGAAAGCAACAAGAGGACAAAAGACUUCCAAUAACUUUCUUCAUAAUCAGGGCCGAGAUAGUUAAAGUGUUGCAGGCGUGAUCAAAUCUUCACCGCACGCCUCAUUUGCAGAAUCGCCCACAUUGCUGACAGACGCCAAGACAGUUAUGGCAGUUCUGUACAUCUCAAUCUCCACCGUUGAUCUUA